RNAcentral lists this ribosomal RNA (581 nucleotides) under uncultured Rhizophagus. RNAcentral's name for it is "LSU rRNA". It matches the Rfam family "Eukaryotic large subunit ribosomal RNA", at positions 204 to 637 of the family's 3401-position model. The record is from RNAcentral. Lineage: Eukaryota; Fungi; Glomeromycota; Glomeromycetes; Glomerales; Glomeraceae.
CAUGGAGGGUGAGAAUCCCGUCCGGUUGAUCAGAUUCGCUUUACGAUACGCUUUCUAAGAGUCAAGUUGUUUGGGAUUGCAGCUUAAAAUGGGAGGUAAAUUUCUCCUAAGGCUAAAUAACGGCGAGAGACCGAUAGCGAACAAGUACCGUGAGGGAAAGAUGAAAAGAACUUUGAAAAGAGAGUUAAAUAGUACGUGAAAUUGUUGAAAGGGAAACGAUUGAAGCCAGUCGUACCUAUGGGUAAUCAGCCUUUUGGGUGUGAUUUUGUGGAGCGUGAGGAGUUAAACGCCUUCAUGCCUGCAUAUUCGUGCACUUUGGGUGUACUUGCCCGUAUGGUUGGUUAACAUCAAUUUUGGUGGUCAUAAAAUGACUGGAGGAAUGUAGCUUCGAUCUUGUAUUGAAGUGUUAUAGCCUUCGGUAGAUGUGAUGAUCGAGAUUGAGGAUUGCAACGGAUACCCUUCGGGGCUACCUGUCUGGUCUCUGAUCGUUGCUCUGGUGCCGAAAGCUUGCUUACGGUUAUCAAAGUCGAUGGUCAAUAGGUUAGAACGGGUUAAAUUCGUUAAGGAUGUUGACGUAAUGG